CCUACGGGAGGCAGCAGUGGGGAAUAUUGCACAAUGGGCGAAAGCCUGAUGCAGCAACGCCGCGUGAGGGACGACGGCCUUCGGGUUGUAAACCUCUUUUAGCAAGGAAGAAGCGAAAGUGACGGUACUUGCAGAAAAAGCGCCGGCUAACUACGUGCCAGCAGCCGCGGUAAUACGUAGGGCGCAAGCGUUAUCCGGAAUUAUUGGGCGUAAAGAGCUCGUAGGCGGUUUGUCGCGUCUGCUGUGAAAACCCGAGGCUCAACCUCGGGCCUGCAGUGGGUACGGGCAGACUAGAGUGCGGUAGGGGAGAUUGGAACUCCUGGUGUAGCGGUGGAAUGCGCAGAUAUCAGGAAGAACACCGAUGGCGAAGGCAGAUCUCUGGGCCGUAACUGACGCUGAGGAGCGAAAGGGUGGGGAGCAAACAGGCUUAGAUACCCUGGUAGUCCACCCCGUAAACGUUGGGAACUAGUUGUGGGGUCCAUUCCACGGAUUCCGUGACGCAGCUAACGCAUUAAGUUCCCCGCCUGGGGAGUACGGCCGCAAGGCUAAAACUCAAAUGAAUUGACGG
This 568-nucleotide ribosomal RNA is filed under the name uncultured bacterium. RNAcentral's name for it is "bacterial SSU rRNA". It matches the Rfam family "Bacterial small subunit ribosomal RNA", at positions 338 to 916 of the family's 1533-position model. The record is from RNAcentral.